Molecule: small nucleolar RNA, 132 nt
Organism: Mytilus californianus (California mussel)
Lineage: Eukaryota; Metazoa; Mollusca; Bivalvia; Mytilida; Mytilidae
Product: small nucleolar RNA SNORA57
Exons: 1
Source: RefSeq, a predicted model, not a curated record
CCACCUAUUCUUGGCAUGUUAAGUAUUGAAUAGUAACUUACCAUGUAUGUGAUGGUGGUACAUAAAAUGUGGACUGUCUUCGGUGCUGAAGUUCUACAUACUUCAGAUCCCUCCUCUAUGUUCACAACAAAA